AAGAUAGAGGCGCAUCGUCUCAUCAGUAGCCGCGGCAAAACCGGAUUCUCGCAAAAUUCCGCCGUCGGUGAAAGGGAGCGUUGCCGAAAGGAGCUUCGGCGGAAGCUUUCUUGGGCACAUGAAAUAAGAUUCAUGUGACUGUCGCGUUUUGCGGAGUGCUAUUAU
Molecule: non-coding RNA, 165 nt
Filed under: pig gut metagenome
Description: Lysine riboswitch
Rfam family: Lysine riboswitch aptamer
About the family: Riboswitches are metabolite binding domains within certain messenger RNAs that serve as precision sensors for their corresponding targets. Allosteric rearrangement of mRNA structure is mediated by ligand binding, and this results in modulation of gene expression.
Source: RNAcentral